UAAUACAAAAACUAAAAACGGAAAAGAUAAAGAAACGUUCUUUUAAGGUUAUACACACAGAGAUAGAGUGGUUUUAAUAAGAGGAGCUUUGACCAAAAAGUUUAGGAGACAAUUAGAGGUUACAGAGUUGUGGUCUCAGAUGUUAUAUAUGUUAUAUUAUGACACUGACAUGGAAUUAACUUUCUUAUAGGACGGCUUAUUAAUUAGGUGUGUUCUCCUACGAUCCUUUUCUAAAUGUUGGUCCACUAUGCUUCCUACAUGGUUUACCACUUUAAUUCUUGCUCCUCCUUUUCCUUCCUCCAAUUACCUAUUGAAUUGUUACAUACACUUGUUCAACUCAAUGUGACUAACUUGUUGGUACUUCACUACUUUGAAUAAACCUUAUCUGCCCAAAGGAGAAUUAGAUAGAAUCCCGUCAACCACAAAAUCACUGGACCAAUCCAAUCCCAAUCCAAC
RNAcentral lists this long non-coding RNA (456 nucleotides) under Arachis ipaensis. RNAcentral describes it as "long non-coding RNA (AIPA_LNC001148)". The record is from RNAcentral. Lineage: Eukaryota; Viridiplantae; Streptophyta; Magnoliopsida; Fabales; Fabaceae.